CCUUACGGGCGGUGAGUGCAAGUUGGAUGUGAAAUACCGAGGCUUAACCUCGGGGCUGCAUCCAAAACUGUAGUUCUUGAGUGAAGUAGAGGUAAGCGGAAUUCCGAGUGUAGCGGUGAAAUGCGUAGAUAUUCGGAGGAACACCAGUGGCGAAGGCGGCUUACUGGGCUUUAACUGACGCUGAGGCACGAAAGCAUGGGUAGCAAACAGGAUUAGAUACCCUGGUAGUCCAUGCCGUAAACGAUGAUUGCUAGGUGUGGGGGGACUGACCCCUUCCGUGCCGGAGUUAACACAAUAAGCAAUCCACCUGGGGAGUACGACCGCAAGGUUGAAACUCAAAGGAAUUGACGGGGGCCCGCACAAGCAGUGGAGUAUGUGGUUUAAUUCGAAGCAACGCGAAGAACCUUACCAGGUCUUGACAUCCAACUAACGAAGUAGAGAUACAUUAGGUGCCCUUCGGGGAAAGUUGAGACAGGUGGUGCAUGGUUGUCGUCAGCUCGUGUCGUGAGAUGUUGGGUUAAGUCCCGCAACGAGCGCAACCCCUGCCGAUAGUUGCUACGCAAGAGCACUCUAUCGGGACCGCUACCGACAAGGUGGAGGAAGGUGGGGACGACGUCAAAUCAUCAUGCCCCUUAUGACCUGGGCUACACACGUACUACAAUGGCCGUUAACAGAGGGAAGCAAUAGGGCGACCUGGAGCAAAUCCCUAAAAACGGUCUCAGUUCAGAUUGCAGGCUGCAACUCGCCUGUAUGAAGUCGGAAUUGCUAGUAAUCGCGGAUCAGCAUGCCGCGGUGAAUACGUUCCCGGGCCUUGUACACACCGCCCGUA
This 829-nucleotide ribosomal RNA is filed under the name uncultured bacterium. Its description in RNAcentral is "bacterial SSU rRNA". It matches the Rfam family "Bacterial small subunit ribosomal RNA", at positions 569 to 1398 of the family's 1533-position model. The record is from RNAcentral.